AAAAAGAGACUUCGGGCAAGAGGAGGAUCUAGGGGAGAAGAGGAAGAGAGGGAGAGGAAGAGAGAGACUGUGGAGAGCAAAAAACCAGAAUGAGAGAGAAACUAGAAAAAGGAAAACCCAGAAAAAGAGAGGAAGAGGGUUUUGGGAAAAGAGAGAAAAAAAGAAGAGAAAAGAAAAAGAGGAAAAGAAGAGAGGAAAGAAGAAUCUGGGGGAGAACAGAGGGCUUCGGACAAGAAAAAGAAAGGAAAAGGAGAGGGGAGAUCGAGUGAGAAGAAAAGAAAAAGUUGCAGCAGAAGUUUUUGUCACCAGGCUGACGAACUAGCCUGUUUUGGAGCCAAAUUUCUUCUUCGAUUGUAGAUUUUUGAUAGAUCUUUUGGCUUAUACGCUUUCUUGGGAGACAACAGAAGAAGCUUCAUUCACAAAUAUCUGGGGACAAACCGCUAUAAGUUGGUCAGAUCGAGGCUCAAAGUAGCGACUUCAUCAGCACUGAAACCUUCUGCAACAUAAGUUCUUGGGUUUCGUUUUCCAUAACAGCUCGGUUUCUUGAAGCAUCUCAAGUUCGUUUAGCGGUUCUAGUGCUCUCAGGUAAUCAUGGAUUAUUCUCAAUGUGGAUUUAAGACAAAUUUAAUAGAGAUUUGAGCCCCUUGUGCAUGAUUUUUUUUUCUUUUCUAAGUUUUGUCGUUGCCAAUGGUUGAUGACUGUGGUUAGACUUGGUGCCGUUGUUGUGCUGUUGAUGAGCUUGAUGCUGGUCCCUUUGUUCAUUUAACGUGUAUCUAAAACUAUGAAUGCAAUUUAGAAGCCAUGAACACCUCUUGUGUUUAGUAAUCCGUAUACGUAAUCAUCUCACCUCUUGUGUAUAUGUAAUCUGUAUAGUUAAUGAACUAAAGGUUGUACUUUUGGUCCAUGUUUAUGUGUGUAAUCUGCGUCUGAGAACUCUUAGGAAUGUAAAGUAUAGGAUUCGAGUUUGUGCAAUGUGUUGUCUUGGCUUGAAAGUUUGAUGCUUGCUUGGAUGUUGGUUUCCUCUGUUUGACAUGAAACCAGAAACUGGUGGAAAGUUUUUUGAAUAAACCUGGAAUUUGCAAGCUUUUCCUCAUUCUAGAUUUUCCUUUCUCUUGUAUGCAUAACAUGGUAUCUUGAUGAUGAGCUUAUGGAACUUAAUGAGAACUUGAGGGUUGGAUCCUUGUUGUUGUUAAAAUUUUUUUGCCGCUUAAGGUUGCUGAAGUUCCAAAGCAUCAGGAGUUGCAGCAACUCUUCUUCGAUACUUGCAUGGGAAAAUCAUAAAAUAUUGUGUUUUGACCCCCGGAUUGUUGCUUAAUUCUACUAUAGCCCAAAAAUAUGGAAAAUUAAUCAAUUUUACCUUUUUUGAAAUUCAAUCAUCUUCUCAUGAUUUAACCAUGUUUUAAGUAAGUUUAUUUUCUGGUUUUAGGAGAUAAUUAGUAGAACUCCAUUAAUUUUUAAAGCUUUAUUUUUGACUUCUAAUCUUAGCAAUAAUAAUAAUUUGAUGCUUAAAACUUUUAUAAUUAUUUCAAUUAGGUCCUUGCUUGUUUUAAUUUCUUAAAUAUAGGUUGUUUACUUUCAUUUAAAUGCUUUAAUUGUUCAAUUUCAUGAUCAUUUCCACUUCUUUACAUAUUAUUGCUCUUAUUUGUUAAUUAAAAUGGUACAUUGACUACUUUGUUGAUUUUUGGAGUUUUAAAUAGGAUAAAUCCAAACCCAAUUAGCUACUACUUCAAGAGAAGGUAUUUUCUUUUAUUGUUUAAAAAUCCUAUGUGCUCCUAUGUGAUUUUAUGUGUGUAAUUGCAUGUUUUUUGAAUUUUAUUUCAUUUAUUUAUUUAUUCACUUUAUUUGUUUUAAUUUUGUAUAUUUAUUUUAAUUUAAUUUUUUAUUAUUUGAGAGGCAAUUAAAUGCUAAAUUGUAAUAGUUAGAUUAUUAUUUUAUUUCAUUUCAUUCUUUACCCCUUUAGAUUGUAGUUAGGAUCCCCAAAUGUAAUAGUUAAGUCUCUAUUCGCUUUUAUUUUGUGUGCUUGCAUGCUUGUGUGUUUACAUGUUUACUCGUUUUCUUAGGGUCUUUGCAUCUAGAUACCAUGCUUAUGUGCUAUGUGCUCUAUGUGAUUUAUGUGUUUACUUGCUUUUAUUAUGUUUUAUAUGAUUUAUUUGAUUAUAAUGAAUGCAUGAUGUCACCACACUAGUCCAACGCUAGUUGUGGUCUAUUUUCUCGAUUUCUCGCUAGUCCAAUGCUAGUGAGAAUUGAUAGACAUGGGUUAGUCCAAUACUAGACCCUUAGGAACCGCCCACGCACUAAAUCAUGCUUGUGUGACAAAUCACUACAUUUUUUCUACUUUUUAGGAUCCUUAUCAUUUUUGCGUGAUAUUUUCUCUAUAUGUAUAUCCCCUAUCCCUAUGUGCGAAAUAUGACAUUUUAAACUUUCAUUCCAUUUAAGGAAAUUAAGAGUAGAUUAGUGCAUUUGCUUGAUUAAAUUAGGAAAAUACCCGUCGAAUAUGGAAUAUGGACGAGCAUGACUUUCUAGCCUUAGCACGCUCGUAUUCCCUCUAUAAAAGGAAAAAUUGAGUUACAAAUCUUAGUCCCCAUACCCAUUAUAUUACAUCCCUCUCUUUUAGCUCACAUAUAUUUGUAUAUUAUAAUUUUUCUAUUUUUUUAAAUCUCAUUGUUGCAUAUUCGUGACCUCUUCAAAGAAUCACUUUUGAGCAUCGCAGUUAAUGCGAUUUGCACCAAUUAAAAUUUGAAAAGACAUAUUGACCAUUUCGAUAGCCAUUAGAUCUAGGUUUGCAUUCAUAUAGUAACAUCCAAAUGUGAUAAGUUUUAUAGGCUAAACUUAGAAAAUUUUCCGACUAAAUCACACAACUAACUCUGGUUAAGUUGAAAGGAUGUUUUGGAUUUUAUCCUUACCUUCCCUUUCUUCAAACGUGACUCCCGAACACUUUUCUCUCAUUUUCGAAGACUUGGAGUUGUUUAAAAAGGGUUUUCUCUACUUUUUAUUUAAAAUUCAAUUUAGGUGACUUAGUAUACCUUAACUCGAUACUAAGUGGCGACUCCUAUUUUUUUUUAAAAACCCUUUUUAAACUAUUAUUUUGGGCCAAAAUUGUCGCACUUUUUGAGUCCCAUUUUAGGCCCUUAUUCUCUAACAAAUCAAAAGCUCAUUUUUCAAUCAAAAUUAAUCAAAUUCAUUUUAUAAACCCAUAAUUUUAUUUUCAAAAAAAUGGGACGCGACAAACACUACAGUCUGUUAUGAUUAGACUGGAAAGGACGACAAAAUUGGUCCACGAAAUGCCUUAUCUAGUUAUCUUUUUUUUUUUUGGGUCCAAAUUAACGUAAGAAAUGUCGCACAUUGUUUGGCUUGCUUAAGUAUGAGAUGCGACAAUAUCAAAUAGAUUUAUAUUGUUCAUGUUAAUAUAGCUGCCCAUUAUCAUAAAGUUUUGAAAGAAAUUCACACCCAGACUUUAGUUGCAGAAAAGAAACCUGGUGUAUGAACUGAAAGUCAAUUUUUCUGAAUUCUGUACAAUUGCCGUGGCCCAGAUCUCACAUGAUUUCAAGUUGCAAAUCUUAAAAACAGGCUGUCUUCUACACUAGUAGCAGAUAACAAAACAGUGCUGCGAAAUUGAUAAUUCACAAUAGUAGUGGUAGCAGUACUGCCUAAAUGAUUGGACUGCGGAGGGUUAUAUACCUUGUUCCAUGUAAAUAGAGUGCCCAACUAAACUAUUUUGAUGCCAUGGCUAUGGACACAUAUACAGCACUUCAUCUUCGUUCACCUUACUGAUGAUUGAUGAUGAAGACAACACUUUUUUUUUAAGCAUUAAAAUGUAAGUGAUUGUUCGAACCAUUGUACGUGCUGCCAUUUUAGCAGUAUCUCAAUAUCUUUUUGUUGUUAAGUCUUGGGAUGCUUAGCGUAACUGUUCUCAUAGAUCCGGUAGCAUUACUAUUGAGCUGUUUGCAUGUUGCGUGUUGCGUGGUGCCCAACGCUUAGUGUAUAACUUAAAAUUUUUGAUAAAUUUUUUGAGAUUAUUAUAGUUAAAAUUGUUAAAAAAAAAUUUAUAGCAGACUAACUUGAUCAAAAACUUAUUUGUCAAACAGGACCAAUAGACAAGGGAAGUGGAGCCUCAGCUGAAUUUCACAUGCUCACACCCCAACUUCACCGAGAAAUCAAAAUGCUCGAAGAUUAAUCUACUUCUGGAGAAGGCUUCUCUGGGUGGGGACCACGGGUCAUUUGGCUGCCAUAUAUAUAUAAUUAUAAUUUUAUAAUUUUAUAAUUUAAGAAAAUGUUUAAAUUUAAAAGAUAAAAUAAAUUUGAGCGCAUGAAUUCCCAUAUUACAUGUAGCUGUUCCUAAUUAGAAUGCCCUCACUCACUUCUCAGAGAAUUGUUAAAGAAUUUGCAAAGUAAAGCUUCCAUUUCGAGGGCAAUUCCUUAGAAUAUAGCCAUUUAUUAAAAAAAAAAUCCGUCAAGCAUUGAUGGUUGGAGUGAUUUGCUUAAUUUAUGUCCGUCCUGCCACGACGGGUCAAUGGAAUUUUUUUUUAAAAGCCCAAGGCGACGCCGUGCAGCCUCAGAGAGACGGCCCAAUUUUAAAAGCCCAAAGUACACCUGGCCAUCGGGAAGUCAAAAUAUUUGUAUGACCUAGUGUCUAACAUUAAUUGAUGGUAGCACAGACGUCCAAAAUGCUACUACAAUGUGGGCUGGGAAUAGUGGUUUUUGCUGGUUUCGUUGUAAUUUGAGUGUUGAUUUUGUCCUCAUUUGUCUUUUUAGGUGUGAUGGAACUCAUUGUGGGGUCAUCUCUAUUUCAUGUUUGUCGACCACAAGUUCUGAAUUUUGGUGGCCUUAUUCCAAUUUUACCCUUUUACGGGGGUUUCGCUA
RNAcentral lists this long non-coding RNA (4860 nucleotides) under Coffea arabica (coffee). RNAcentral describes it as "long non-coding RNA (CARA_LNC002549)". The record is from RNAcentral. Lineage: Eukaryota; Viridiplantae; Streptophyta; Magnoliopsida; Gentianales; Rubiaceae.